RNAcentral lists this ribosomal RNA (477 nucleotides) under uncultured organism. RNAcentral's name for it is "partial 16S ribosomal RNA". It matches the Rfam family "Bacterial small subunit ribosomal RNA", at positions 333 to 801 of the family's 1533-position model. The record is from RNAcentral.
ACACUCCUGCGGGAGGCAGCAGUGGGGAAUAUUGCACAAUGGGCGCAAGCCUGAUGCAGCCAUGCCGCGUGUAUGAAGAAGGCCUUCGGGUUGUAAAGUACUUUCAGCGGGGAGGAAGGCAAUACGGUUAAUAACCGUGUUGAUUGACGUUACCCGCAGAAGAAGCACCGGCUAACUCCGUGCCAGCAGCCGCGGUAAUACGGAGGGUGCAAGCGUUAAUCGGAAUUACUGGGCGUAAAGCGCACGCAGGCGGUCUGUCAAGUCGGAUGUGAAAUCCCCGGGCUCAACCUGGGAACUGCAUUCGAAACUGGCAGGCUUGAGUCUUGUAGAGUGGGGUAGAAUUCCAGGUGUAGCGGUGAAAUGCGUAGAGAUCUGGAGGAAUACCGGUGGCGAAGGCGGCCCCCUGGACAAAGACUGACGCUCAGGUGCGAAAGCGUGGGGAGCAAACAGGAUUAGAUACCCCAGUAGUCCCAUGAU